GGUAAAUCUCGUGCCAGCCACCGCGGUCACACAAGAGACCCAAGCUAACCGUUUGCGGCGUAAAGAGUGGACUCAUGCUUAUCACACUAAUUAAGGUCAAAACGCAACUGAGCUGUCAUAAGCCUAAGAUGCAUUUAAAACCGCCCUAAAGAUGACCCUAAAUUCACAAGACUUAAUGAACUCCACGAAAGCCAGGGCACAAACUGGGAUUAGAUACCCCACUAUGCCUGGCCCUAAAUCUUGAUGCUCUAUAUAACCAAAGCAUCCGCCUGAGAACUACGAGCACAAACGCUUAAAACUCUAAGGACUUGGCGGUGCCCCAAACCCACCUAGAGGAGCCUGUUCUGUAAUCGAUACUCCACGAUACACCCGACCACUUCUUGCCAUGGACAGCCUACAUACCGCCGUCGCCAGCUCACCUCCUCUGAGAGCACUACAGUGAGCACAACCGCCCUAACCCCGCUAACAAGACAGGUCAAGGUAUAGCUUAUGAAGUGGAAGAAAUGGGCUACAUUUUCUAAUCUAGAAAAUCCCACGAAAAGGGGCAUGAAAUAGCCCCUAGAAGGCGGAUUUAGCAGUAAAGAGGGAUAAUAUAAGCCCCCUUUAAGCUGGCUCUGGGGCACGUACAUACCGCCCGUCACCCUCCUCAUAAGCUCUAAACUACCAAUAAAUAAUACUCCUACCUGCUAAAGAUGAGGUAAGUCGUAACAAGGUAAGCAUACUGGA
Molecule: ribosomal RNA, 726 nt
Filed under: Columba livia (rock pigeon)
Lineage: Eukaryota; Metazoa; Chordata; Aves; Columbiformes; Columbidae
Description: partial 12S ribosomal RNA
Rfam family: Bacterial small subunit ribosomal RNA
Source: RNAcentral